GUGUCAGCCGCCGCGGUAAUACGGAGGGGGCUAGCGUUGUUCGGAAUCACUGGGCUUAAAGGGCGCGUAGGCGGUUGUGUAAGUCCAGGGUUGAAGGCCCCGGCUCAACCGGGGAAAGGCCUUGGAGACUGCAUGACUUGAGUGAGCGAGGGGAGGGCGGAAUUCCUGGUGUAGCGGUGAAAUGCGUAGAUAUCAGGAGGAAGGCCUGUGGCGAAGGCGGCCCUCUGGCGCUCAACUGACGCUGAGGCGCGAAAGCGUGGGUAGCAAACAGGAUUAGAUACCCUGGUAGUCCACGCCCUAAACGGUGGGCACUAGGUGUGGGGCUCGAGAGGGUUCCGUGCCGAAGGGAAACCAAUAAGUGCCCCGCCUGGGGAGUACGGCCGCAAGGUUGAAACUUAAAUGAAUUGACGGGG
RNAcentral lists this ribosomal RNA (413 nucleotides) under uncultured prokaryote. RNAcentral describes it as "bacterial SSU rRNA". It matches the Rfam family "Bacterial small subunit ribosomal RNA", at positions 505 to 918 of the family's 1533-position model. The record is from RNAcentral.